UAGUCCACGCUGUAAACGAUGUCGAUUUGAAGGUUGUUCCCUUGAGGAGUGGCUUUCGGAGCUAACGCGUUAAAUCGACCGCCUGGGGAGUACGGCCGCAAGGUUAAAACUCAAAUGAAUUGACGGGGGCCCGCACAAGCGGUGGAGCAUGUGGUUUAAUUCGAUGCAACGCGAAGAACCUUACCUACUCUUGACAUCCAGAGAAUUUAGCAGAGAUGCUUUAGUGCCUUCGGGAACUCUGAGACAGGUGCUGCAUGGCUGUCGUCAGCUCGUGUUGUGAAAUGUUGGGUUAAGUCCCGCAACGAGCGCAACCCUUAUCCUUUGUUGCCAGCACGUAAUGGUGGGAACUCAAAGGAGACUGCCGGUGAUAAACCGGAGGAAGGUGGGGAUGACGUCAAGUCAUCAUGGCCCUUACGAGUAGGGCUACACACGUGCUACAAUGGCGUAUACAAAGAGAAGCGAACUUGCGAGAGUAAGCGGAACUCAUAAAGUACGUCGUAGUCCGGAUUGGAGUCUGCAACUCGACUCCAUGAAGUCGGAAUCGCUAGUAAUCGUAGAUCAGAAUGCUACGGUGAAUACGUUCCCGGGCCUUGUACACACCGCCCGUCACACCAUGGGAGUGGGUUGCAAAAGAAGUAGGUAGCUUAACCUUCGGGAGGGCGCUUACCACUUUGUGAUUCAUGACUGGGGUGAAGUCGUAACAAGGUAACCA
RNAcentral lists this ribosomal RNA (712 nucleotides) under uncultured Providencia sp. RNAcentral describes it as "bacterial SSU rRNA". It matches the Rfam family "Bacterial small subunit ribosomal RNA", at positions 791 to 1502 of the family's 1533-position model. Lineage: Bacteria; Pseudomonadati; Pseudomonadota; Gammaproteobacteria; Enterobacterales; Morganellaceae. The record is from RNAcentral.